CAGCCGCCGCGGUAAUACGUAGGUGGCAAGCGUUGCCCGGAAUUAUUGGGCGUAAAGGGCUCGCAGGCGGUUUCUUAAGUCUGAUGUGAAAGCCCCCGGCUCAACCGGGGAGGGUCAUUGGAAACUGGGAAACUUGAGUGCAGAAGAGGAGAGUGGAAUUCCACGUGUAGCGGUGAAAUGCGUAGAGAUGUGGAGGAACACCAGUGGCGAAGGCGACUCUUUGGUCUGUAACUGACGCUGAGGAGCGAAAGCCAGGGGAGCGAACGGGAUUAGAGACCCCUGUAGUCCCUGUCUCUUAUAC
RNAcentral lists this ribosomal RNA (301 nucleotides) under uncultured bacterium. Its description in RNAcentral is "partial 16S ribosomal RNA". It matches the Rfam family "Bacterial small subunit ribosomal RNA", at positions 509 to 807 of the family's 1533-position model. The record is from RNAcentral.